This 252-nucleotide ribosomal RNA is filed under the name uncultured bacterium. Its description in RNAcentral is "partial 16S ribosomal RNA". It matches the Rfam family "Bacterial small subunit ribosomal RNA", at positions 524 to 776 of the family's 1533-position model. The record is from RNAcentral.
UACGUAGGGUGCGAGCGUUAAUCGGAAUUACUGGGCGUAAAGCGUGCGCAGGCGGUUCGUUGUGUCGGCGGUGAAAUCCCCGGGCUCAACUGGAUGGGACCGUUGAAACUGGCGAACUGGAGUGUGGCAGAGGGGGGUGGAAUUCCGCGUGUAGCAGUGAAAUGCGUAGAGAUGCGGAGGAACACCGAUGGCGAAGGCAGCCCCCUGGGCCGCUCCUGACGCUGAGACGCGAAGGCCAGGGUAGCGAACGGG